UACCCGCCAGGGUACUACGAGCAUAGCUUAAAACCCAAAGGACUUGGCGGUGUCUCAGACCCACCUAGAGGAGCCUGUUCUAGAACCGAUAAUCCCCGUUAAACCUCACCACUUCUUGUUAAUCCCGCCUAUAUACCGCCGUCGCCAGCUUACCCCAUGAGGGUUAAACAGUAAGCAAAAUGGACAAACCCCAGAACGUCAGGUCGAGGUGUAGCGCACGAAGUGGGAAGAAAUGGGCUACAUUUUCUAUAACAGAAAAUAACGAAUGGUCUACUGAAACACAUACCUGAAGGAGGAUUUAGCAGUAAAAAGCAAAUAGAG
RNAcentral lists this ribosomal RNA (321 nucleotides) under Hoplisoma nattereri (blue corydoras). RNAcentral describes it as "Corydoras nattereri partial 12S ribosomal RNA". It matches the Rfam family "Bacterial small subunit ribosomal RNA", at positions 866 to 1354 of the family's 1533-position model. Lineage: Eukaryota; Metazoa; Chordata; Actinopteri; Siluriformes; Callichthyidae. The record is from RNAcentral.